AUUGAACGCUGGCGGCAGGCCUAACACAUGCAAGUCGAACGAGUGGCGGAAGGGUGAGUAAUGUCUGGGAAACUGCCCGAUGGAGGGGGAUAACUACUGGAAACGGUAGCUAAUACCGCAUACCAUCGGAUGUGCCAAGAUGGGAUUAGCUAUGGGGUGGGGUAACGGCUCACCUCGGUGAAGCUCCCUAGCUGGGCUGAGAGGAUGACCAGCCACACUGGAACUGAUACACGUUCCAGCCUCCGACGGGAUGCAGCAGUGGGGAAUAUUGCACAAUGGGCGCAAGCCUGAUGCAGCCAUGCCGCGUGUAUGAAGAAGGCCUUCGGGUUUUAAAGUACUUUCAUCGAGGAGGCGUUACUCUCAGAAGAAGCACCGGCUAACUCCGUGCCAGCAGCCGCGGUAAUAC
This 406-nucleotide ribosomal RNA is filed under the name uncultured bacterium. RNAcentral describes it as "partial 16S ribosomal RNA". It matches the Rfam family "Bacterial small subunit ribosomal RNA", at positions 30 to 526 of the family's 1533-position model. The record is from RNAcentral.